Molecule: long non-coding RNA, 1539 nt
Filed under: Macaca fascicularis (crab-eating macaque)
Lineage: Eukaryota; Metazoa; Chordata; Mammalia; Primates; Cercopithecidae
Description: lncRNA (ENSMFAG00000059220.1)
Source: RNAcentral
UUGCCCAGGCUGGAGUACAGUUUCAGGAUCUCUGGUCACUGCAACCUCUGCCUCCUGGGUUCAAGUGAUUCUCCCGUCUCAGCUUCCCAAGUAGCUGAGACUACAGGUGUGUACCACCACACCUGGCUAAUUUUUGUAUUUUUUGAGUAGAAACAAGGUUUUACCAUAUUGGCUGGUCUCAAACUCUGACCUCAAGUCAUCUCCCUACCUUGGCCUCCCAAAAUGCUGGGAUUACAGAUGUGAGCCACCACACCUGGCUCAAUUCAUUUAAAGCUAAAUGUGUAAACUUACACAUGUAGAUACCAUGUAAAGCCUCUAAUGAUCAUAAUCUGCAAGAUAGUUUGUUGUCAGAUGGGAGGAGAUAGUUGUUCUGUUAUUCAGCACUCAUUAUCUCUCCCAUGCAGAACAUUGGGCUCAGCCCAUUCAGUCCUGCCCUGUCCCAGAUAUGUAGCAUUUUAAAUGAAGAGUUAGCUAAGUUUUGGUUGUGCUGAAUGUUGAUCUUUCCUGAGGAGCUGAUUGCAGAUUUUUGCUGCAUCAUUGGGCACUGGCAUUUACCCAACUCCAGGCAUUUCAGGCAAUACCUUUGAUGGAUCCAGAGCUUUCUUUCUCAUUCAGUGACUCGCUCCUUCACUUUUCCACCCCUUGCACAUUUCUUGUUAAGGGAUGCUCAUGUUCACUGCAGUUGGCAGGUUGAAAGCAGGGCUUCAGACUCCUCUUUUAACAGAAAGCUUUGUCUCUGUCCUGUGUUUUAUCAAACAGCUUCACGGGCAUUUUAAUGAGUUUGCCAAGCUCAUCUUUUGUCUCUAUUGAUGAGUGUUGGACUGCAUUUUUUAUUUUAUUUUUUUCUGGGAGGGAGUCUUUCUCUGUCUACAGAUCAAUUUGGACUUGAUGUUUAAAGCUAAGACUUCCUUCCAUUUCGGAGUAGUUUUGUUGGUAUCAGUUUCUGUACCAUGUCAGUUCCAAUGCUAUUUAUUACCUUUUCUAAUUUAGCCUUAGAGGCAUUGCAGAAAAUAUAAACAACCUGGCCCUGCUGGGACUUCUGACACCCCAGUGCUAGUCAGUUGCAAUUUAUCUGUUCUGUUGAUAACCAAGAAGCCAGACGGGUUUUAUCUUUUCAACAUCCUACAUCAUGACAAAUUGAAUGCCAUGAGUUUUCCCUUCCAGGUGGACUAGGUCAAUCUUUGGUGUGGGGAGACACAAAUGUCUCUUGAUUGUUUUCUCCCCAAAAAGAUCUGAGAGUGGCAGGUUUGAUCUGAUAGGGAAGCAAGUGCUCAGUGUCUGAGAGUUGCUCUGGAUAACUCUUCACUGCUUCCCAAAAGAUGAGGUACAGAUAUUAGAAUAUCAUCUUAACAUAGGCAGCCAAAUUCUCAUAGAUUAUGUCACUGGAUAAAAAACCUGUUCAACUCUGAAAAGUGUACUUCCUCCUUUGACCAUACCAUCCUAGAAAAAAUAGUUACUUAGGAAAGCAAAGGCUUCACAAAAAGCCAUUCAUUAUUUAUCAAAUCACUUUUGUGAGGCAAAAAAAAAAAAAAAAAAAAA